This 654-nucleotide ribosomal RNA is filed under the name uncultured bacterium. RNAcentral's name for it is "bacterial SSU rRNA". It matches the Rfam family "Bacterial small subunit ribosomal RNA", at positions 202 to 842 of the family's 1533-position model. The record is from RNAcentral.
GAAAGAUGGCUUUGGCUAUCACUCUGGGAUGGACCUGCGGUGCAUUAGCUAGUUGGUAAGGUAACGGCUUACCAAGGCGAUGAUGCAUAGCCGAGUUGAGAGACUGAUCGGCCACAAUGGAACUGAGACACGGUCCAUACUCCUACGGGAGGCAGCAGUAGGGAAUCUUCCACAAUGGGCGCAAGCCUGAUGGAGCAACACCGCGUGAGUGAAGAAGGGUUUCGGCUCGUAAAGCUCUGUUGUUGGAGAAGAACGUGCGUGAGAGUAACUGUUCACGCAGUGACGGUAUCCAACCAGAAAGUCACGGCUAACUACGUGCCAGCAGCCGCGGUAAUACGUAGGUGGCAAGCGUUAUCCGGAUUUAUUGGGCGUAAAGCGAGCGCAGGCGGUUGCUUAGGUCUGAUGUGAAAGCCUUCGGCUUAACCGAAGAAGUGCAUCGGAAACCGGGCAACUUGAGUGCAGAAGAGGACAGUGGAACUCCAUGUGUAGCGGUGGAAUGCGUAGAUAUAUGGAAGAACACCAGUGGCGAAGGCGGCUGUCUGGUCUGCAACUGACGCUGAGGCUCGAAAGCAUGGGUAGCGAACAGGAUUAGAUACCCUGGUAGUCCAUGCCGUAAACGAUGAGUGCUAGGUGUUGGAGGGUUUCCGCCCUUCA